This is a long non-coding RNA of Dendrobium catenatum, 469 nucleotides long. RefSeq lists it as uncharacterized. The record is from RefSeq and is a predicted model, not a curated record. The transcript has 3 exons. Lineage: Eukaryota; Viridiplantae; Streptophyta; Magnoliopsida; Asparagales; Orchidaceae.
CCAUUGAUGAAUGAUUUUUUUUUUUUAUAUAUUGAGCUAUGGAUAACUAUCAUUGGAUCACUUUUAUCAGGGAGAUGGAUUAUUAGAAAGAUCUUGAUUCUGAUGGUUCGGUGCUAUAAAUUUAUUUGAAUUUACCAGUUGAAUGUGACUAAACAGGCUUGAACAAAUAGAAAUUGCCUCCCAUCAUCUAUGAUAAAGCUUGCAAACACUUGUGUUCAGAGCUUCUCCGGUGGACAGUGUAUGCAGUGUGCAUUAUGUUCCUGUAACAAUACAUGAUAGUAAUGUUGCCCCAUUUUAUGCUAUUUGGCUGUCACCUGAAGAGUUAAUUUAGCUGGCGCAGUACUACAAGAUUUAGCCUUGCCAAAAUUGGUAGCUGAUUUUGGCUCACUCGAACUUUCACCUGUUGAUGGGAGGACUUCAACAGAUUAUAUGCAUACAAGGGGCCUGCAGAUGCGUUCACUAGGCCGUG